RNAcentral lists this ribosomal RNA (448 nucleotides) under Indothais javanica. RNAcentral's name for it is "partial 16S ribosomal RNA". It matches the Rfam family "Bacterial large subunit ribosomal RNA", at positions 1933 to 2597 of the family's 2925-position model. Lineage: Eukaryota; Metazoa; Mollusca; Gastropoda; Neogastropoda; Muricidae. The record is from RNAcentral.
GCGGUACUCUGACCGUGCAAAGGUAGCAUAAUCAUUUGCCUUAUAAUUGAAGGCUAGUAUGAAUGGUUUGACGAGAAUUAAGCUGUCUCUUUCCAAUUAAAUAUAACUUUAUUAGCAGGUGAAGAAGCCUGUAUUUUAUUGAAAGACAAGAAGACCCUAUCGAGCUUUAAGAAAAUUAACAGAUUUACUACAUAUUCAUAUAAGUGUAAAACUGCUAAAAACUUUGGUUGGGGCGACUGAGGAACAAAUAAAGCUUCCUUUAUAACCAUAUACUUUCAAGUAUUGAUCCAAUAAAUUUGAUUAAAGGAAUUAGUUACCGUAGGGAUAACAGCAUAAUCUUCUUUGAGAGCUCUCAUCGAAAAGAGGGUUUGUGACCUCGAUGUUGGACCAGAAUACCCAGAAGAUGCAGUCGUCUUCAAUGGUUGGUCUGUUCGACCAUUAAAAUUCU